This is a long non-coding RNA of Melospiza melodia melodia, 2022 nucleotides long. RefSeq lists it as uncharacterized. The transcript is spliced from 4 exons. The record is from RefSeq and is a predicted model, not a curated record. NCBI's taxonomy places the organism in Eukaryota, Metazoa, Chordata, Aves, Passeriformes, Passerellidae.
GCCCGGGAAGCGCUCCCGGGGCACGAAGGGAGCGGCCGAGGGAGAGUAAAAAUGCGAUAAUCAGAUUAUGCAGAAAAAUGAGAGCAAACUGUGAAGAUACCUGACUUACUUUAAAAUUACCACACUGGAUCUGUAGCAGACUUCUCCAUGAGACAGGAAUGUCUGCUUUGGAGUGUAUUUUGGAAGCCAUCCUCUUGCUUUAAUCCAGAGCCCUCUGAACUGUGCACUGCAAACACAGGGGAGAGCAGUUUCAGUCUAAAUUCUGGCUGCCACUGCAGCACCUGGAGCUAAAAAUCCACACAGAGGUGUACAGGUACCAAUGUGAACAGCAGCAGAGGACAGCUGUGCUAAGCACAGGCACAUCUGGCAAAACCUCAGAGUUCCAGCAGCAUCUCCACGUUUUCCCUGCAAUCCUAUUUCCACAAGCUCUGACAUAAAGCAAAGCUGUGGCAGCCAAUAACCUGUGGCACCUAACUGAACUUCAGGCUACUGAAUUACGGUGGAAGCAGUGUGGCAGUAUUUCCUACUUCUGCUUUUCCAGCAUGGCAGGCAUUUCUAGUCUUUCAGACUUUCAGCUCUGCCAGAAAACGUAGCUGCUAAUACACACCAGUUGUAUUAAAUUGGAAGAACAUCCCCUUAAGUGCUUAAGCUGAAUUCUGAAUGCAAAAGAAGCAAUACCAAACCCCAAUUAUCUUUUGAAAUAGUAAAUAAGAAAGCACUAAAUCCUUGGGGGAGGGGGUGGUAGAUCCUCCACUCUUUUAAAUGCUAAAGGAUGUUAUAUUUGAACUCUGAGCUAAACACAUGAGGGAUCUCUGAUGAUUCCCAGCACAGCUGGCAGGGCAGCAUUUGGUGCCAGGUCGGUGUAAUAAGGAACGGAGUGCUUUUUUUGUCAAAGGCUGGAACACGCUUAUAUUUCUUGUAACUUGUUACAAUUUUUAAGUUCUGUAACGGUUCAUGCAUUUUUGCCACCAUGAGUUCGCCCUCCUCAGACAUCUCUUCCAGGGAAGCUGAUUGCUGAGGUCCAGAUCUGGAUUUUUAAGUCCAGAAGUUUAAUUCCUGCUUUUGUGGCUUAUUUAUUUUCUAGAUGCCUGAAAUGACACAAUUCAGGUUGAGGAAGAACCAGAUAUGGUGUGAUACAUGCAAACUGUCAUAGAGUCAUCAGAGGUAGAGACAGUUUCUGCCAGCACACAGAACACUGCCCGGGAAGCACAGGAGGGUUUUCCACAUUAACAGAGGUGGUAGAGGUUGGUUUUAAGUCUUACCAUGAGCCCUGUGUUUUAUAACUUGGUAACAGUUUGAUCUCUGGCACAAACUAUUUGUCUCUCUUUAGUCUGUACAAAACUGCCAGUUAUAUGGGAACUGCAAAAUUCCACAAAUAGAGACCUUGGUUAGAAAAUCAGACUGCAGUCUGCUCCCUUAGCUGCAGAGGUUUAGCAAAAUUACGCUCCUAGGUAGUAAGUGCAAGAACAUUUCUCUCAAUUCCAGAAUUACUCUGCAUUUUCUGCCAGCUGUGGAAUUGAAGCUAGUGAAAAGCUGCUUUUCUGCAAUGGUCAAUACUCACUGUAAUAUUAUACAUGUAGUCUUUUAAGUAAGAACUGACAUUACUUUUAUACUACUUUUGCACAUUACAACUAAGUUUAACUUGAUUUUAAAAUAAUGUUUUAGAAAUGUGCUUUUAGCAGACUGGAUGUUUUAUGAAUAAAAACACCCUGUACUGGGGUGUUUGUCAUGAAGGAAAGAAGAAAGAAAGAAGAAGGAAAGAAAGAAGAAGAAGAAAAGGCUGUGGCUCCUGCUGCUGCUGCUCAGGACACCGGACUCUGUGCCAGGGAACAACUGCUGCUGCUGCUGCUGCUGUUCCUGCAUAGAACCUGGGACUCCAUGCCAGAGCCUCUAAGCCAGAGAGCAGCUGUUGCAGCUGCAGCUUUUGCUCCAUAUCAGAAAAUUUUUAGCAUGGACUUGAAUACUUAGAACUCUUUCCCUUCCAAACUGAUGUAUUCAUGCAAUAAACAACUUUAUAGCAAC